CGCAUUGAAAAUCUAUGUCGGACAGUGGAGCACCACAGUCCCGGAUGUAAACGAGCAGAUAGUUGGCGUCGAUACCGUCACUACUUUCCCAGAAUACAACAGUACGGACAAACUGAAUGAUAUCGCUCUCAUCAGAUUAACUGCGGAUAUUCAAUUUGCUGAUAACGUCAAUGUUGAUUUCAUCGUAUACCAAGAAGCCGGCACGAACUGUCAUUUG
Long non-coding RNA from Daphnia pulicaria, 217 nucleotides. RefSeq lists it as uncharacterized. The record is from RefSeq and is a predicted model, not a curated record. The transcript is spliced from 3 exons. Lineage: Eukaryota; Metazoa; Arthropoda; Branchiopoda; Diplostraca; Daphniidae.